This 75-nucleotide transfer RNA is filed under the name Bacteroidota bacterium. RNAcentral's name for it is "tRNA-Arg". It matches the Rfam family "tRNA". Rfam says of the family: Transfer RNA (tRNA) molecules are approximately 80 nucleotides in length. Their secondary structure includes four short double-helical elements and three loops (D, anti-codon, and T loops). Lineage: Bacteria; Pseudomonadati; Bacteroidota. The record is from RNAcentral.
GGCCCUGUAGCUCAACUGAAUAGAGUAUCUGACUACGGAUCAGAAGGUUCAAGGUUUGACUCCUUGCAGGGUCAC